GAUGAAUGCUGGCGGCGUGCCUAACACAUGCAAGUCGAGCGGCAGCGAGGGGUGCUUGCACCCUGUCGGCGAGCGGCGAACGGCUGAGUAACGCGUAGGAAUUUUCCCCAAAGUGAGGAAUAACUGCCCGCAAGGGUAGCUAAUGCCGCAUAUGGUCUUCGGAUUAAAGGAUUUAUCCGCUUUGGGAGCAGCCUGCGUUGGAUUAGGUUGUUGGUAGGGUAAUGGCCUACCAAGCCGACGAUCCAUAGCUGGUCUGAGAGGAUGAUCAGCCAGACUGGAACUGAGACACGGUCCAGACUCCUACGGGAGGCAGCAGUGAGGAAUCUUCCACAAUGGGCGAAAGCCUGAUGGAGCAACGCCGCGUGAAGGAUGAAGGCCUUCGGGUUGUAAACUUCUUUUAUGAGUGAAGAAUAUGACGGUAACUCAUGAAUAAGCACCGGCUAACUACGUG
RNAcentral lists this ribosomal RNA (451 nucleotides) under uncultured bacterium. Its description in RNAcentral is "partial 16S ribosomal RNA". It matches the Rfam family "Bacterial small subunit ribosomal RNA", at positions 28 to 507 of the family's 1533-position model. The record is from RNAcentral.